Sciurus carolinensis (gray squirrel) is the source of this 2020-nucleotide RNA transcript. It is a transcript of the gene named chromosome 12 C1orf74 homolog, with no coding region annotated. The record is from RefSeq and is a predicted model, not a curated record. Lineage: Eukaryota; Metazoa; Chordata; Mammalia; Rodentia; Sciuridae. The transcript has 6 exons.
CAGCAAUAUAAUUUGGCCACUAUCAUUCACCAGUUUUUCCCCUUUCCCUUCUCUCCUCCUCCCCUUGGCCCCUCCACUUGUCUCCACAAGGGAAGAUAGUGUUCUGUGUCCUGUCUAGCUUCCCAGUCAAGCGGGCCAUCGGACUGCAUAACACAAAUAGAGCACACCAGGAAGCAAAGGACAGCUGCUCACAGCAAGUUGGAACAGCCUCUUCCUCAAGUGUCUGGAGCUGAGUUGCAACCCAGGGAAGGGAACUGUGACUUAAGACGUGAAAGCUUGAUGUUACUUCCAGAUCUCAUGUCAACACUGAGCCCUCAGUUAUUGGUGGCAGUUGCUCAGCAGACCCUGGGCAUGGGAAAGAAAAAGGAUCCACCUCGAGCCAUCUGCCUUCACCUAGCUGGAGAGGUGCUGGCUGUGACCCGGGGACUGAAACCAGCUGUGCUAUAUGAUUGCAACUGUGCAGGAGCAUUGGCACUCCAGAACUAUCUGGAGGAGCUGCAGGGGCUGGGCUUCCCUACUCUGGGACUUCACAUUCUUGAAAUUGGAGAAAAUAACUUCAUUGUCAGUCCUGCUCAUGUAUGUCAGCACUUAGAACAGGUGCUGCUUGGUACCAUAGCCUUUGUGGAUGUUUCCAGCUCCCAACCUCACCCUUCUAUCUGUUCCCUGAACCAGCUUCAGGAUUUGAAGGACAUUGUGACGGAGAUCAUCACUCAUUUGCAGGGGCUACAGAGGGACGUAUCCUUGGGAGUCUCCCACAGCAUGCUCCAUUCCUCAGACUGGAAUCUCUGUACUGUAUUUGGGAUCCUCCUGGGCUAUCCUCUCUCUUACACCUUUCACCUGAACCAGGGCGAUGACAAUUGCUUAGCCCUGACACCACUACGGGUAUUCAGUGCCCGGAUCUCAUGGCUACUAGGUCAACCCUCAGUCCUGCUCUAUUCCUUUAGUGUCCCAGAAAUCUUGUUCCCAGCCCUGAGGGACACUCUAAACGUCUGGGAGAAGAACCUCAGAACCCGAUUUAGGACUCAGAAUGACUUUGCUGACCUCAGCAUCUCUUCUGAGAUAGUGACACUGCCGGCUGUGGCCCUCUGACUUUAAUUGUCCUCCUAUGUGGAAGGUAUGAGGGAAACAAGAUCAGCAUUUCUUCUGUCCUAUGCUGAGUUAUCUGCCCCUCCAAUCACUGUCUGUAAGAAUAAAGAAACUCUGGACAUGGACAUUGGAACUAGAGCUCCUUCAGGAAUAUAAGGGGGAAUCGAUGCUGCUGUUGCUGUUUUAAUGGUUUCUUCUGCUUUCUGGAUGGCCUCUGUUGGGGUCUUCAAUAUCAGCAGAUUUCAUCCCAUACCUGAUGUUCCUUGCAGUGCAUUCCCUGGCUGCUGGAAGCUUUGCAAAUUAAAAGCCAGAAUGGUCUGCUGAUGUGAAGAACUUGAAGAAAAUUUCAGGCACUGAGGAAGAGGACCAGACAGAAGUAGAAAGGUAAUGUCUGCUGCCCAAGUUGGGAAGAAUUUACAGAUAUUGCCACAGAAGCCACCACUGUUUCAGAAAUUGAAUCCAAGUCUUGGAUGAAGAUUUUGCCAAGCUCACAGGAGGUGGAGAGGACAGUGUAGACAGGCAGAGUUGGAUGAAAGUGUGGCCAAGGGACCAGAUGGCUGGAUUAAAGCACACGUGUGAAGGGGAUUGUGUGUUAGGACCUGAAAGGAAAAUUUUUGGCUGGACUUUGAAUACCUGAUCAGGAACUUUGGAUUUUAACCUGGAGAUGAUGGAGAGUGUGCGUGGGACAAAGUCCAUACCAAACCCAACUCAUAGCAAGUGGAGCAAAAGCCAAAACUCACAAGAUAAAACACAGCAAGAAAAAGUGCAAAGGCAUGUGAGCAUCUGUGAACAUGUGCGCUCACGUGUUCUAAGAAUGGCACAAAUUCAAGAUGGAACAACCCGUUUCAACAGCACUUGACUUGAAAAAGACAUGGGUGUUCAAGUAUCUACAAGGUCACUCUAUUUGUUGGUGUGACUUGCCUGGGAUGAGCCU